RNAcentral lists this long non-coding RNA (850 nucleotides) under Homo sapiens (human). Its description in RNAcentral is "HSALNT0332897". The record is from RNAcentral. Lineage: Eukaryota; Metazoa; Chordata; Mammalia; Primates; Hominidae.
UGAUUCUGAGGCCUCCCAGCCACGUCGAACUGGCCUAAAAUAGCAACCUGAAAUAUACUGGAUACACAAAAAAACUGUGUUUUAUGGAAUCUAAGAAGCCAUCGGUUACAGAAGAAGGAGAUGCCAGUGACAAGCAAAGUAACUCCCCCACGGCAUGGGAAGAGCCAGCAUCUGCUGCUGUCCAGGAAUACAGUCUCACUGCUGCAGUCAAGGAAGGCCAAAGAAGCCACCGGGGAAAACCAACCCAUCCCGGGGACACUGGAGGCUCACUCCUUCCUCGCUGCAUUCUGAGGCUGCUGCUUUGGAGUGAGAGAUUAUCCUCUGCUUCUCCUGAAAGAGAAGGUGAUAUGCCCAGGACCCUUCCUGAGUAAGAUGUGUUCCUCAGAGGUUAAAAAAGAAAAAAAAGCCCCAAACCCCUGAAACCAAGAAAUCAAGACAGCUCUGGUGGAGAAGCUUUUGGGAACUUGCUGGGGCAGGCUCCAAUCAGCUUAAAGUCCUUGCAAAGAAAGAAAUUGUGCCCUGUCUCUCAGCGUCGACCAUAGCAGAGAGCCUGGGACAUGAAUGGGUGUCAUUAUUUAUCUGCUGAACAAAUAGAAAAACAUUGUCACUGGAAAGACUGAAACUAACAUGAGUGGAAAAGAAUUGAAGCUCAAGAAGCAAAUUAUCUGGAUUUUACAGAGGAAGGAGGACAUUGAAGAUUAGAGGUUGCAUAGCCUGACCAUGUUUACAUCUAGGCAACUUGUCAAGACAUCCUGCAGGGAAGUGUGUUCAAAGAAGGUCAGCCAGGGAAUGGAACUGCAUGAGGUGAUGCUGUGGUAUAUAAUUGACUUCCUGUUUCUCUGGAAAGUGA